UUAAUGUGCUAAACAAUUUCACAAAUUCUUGAAGAGCAUUUAAUAAAGGACAGUGCAAUUAAAUUUAUGUGCAAAUCAUUUGCAAUGCACUCUGAUCUGUAUUGUGCGAUUCUACAAAGACAUUUCAGACAUUUACAUAAUUCAAUAAUAUGUCAAAAUUAA
Molecule: long non-coding RNA, 162 nt
Organism: Thalassophryne amazonica
Lineage: Eukaryota; Metazoa; Chordata; Actinopteri; Batrachoidiformes; Batrachoididae
Exons: 4
Source: RefSeq, a predicted model, not a curated record